UGACAGCGCGGCGAGAGCUCCCUGAGUCACGGUGGUCGCCGGUGAGUAACUCCGGCUGGGCCCGGGAGAGGGUGCCACGUAUGAGUCAUCCUUUUCCCGGCGUUAUCCAUCCCUCACCGUGCAUGAAUCCGGGCGGCGGCGGCACGAAUUUUGACGCGGGGAGGUCACCGGCGGUGGAGGUUUGUCACGCUGGCGAUCAAAUCUGUUCGGGUUACUGUACCAUCAGAACACCCAUAUCAGAGCACCUGACAGCGUGUUUUGCAGGGUUAUAUACUCCCAAUUUUGUGCAGCAACUCGAUUGCCUUUCUCAAACAAAAUUGUAGAGCAAUGUACCAUCUACAAUUCGACUAUAGGACUUGAACACAUUUGAGCACUGGAUCAUGCUCGAAUUUGAGCUGAAAGUUGAUGUCAGUCAUCUGCUAUUCUGAAUUUCAGAUCAAACAGCCUGACAGCCAGUUCUUGAUUGGGUUUUUCUCUAAAUUUCUCAUAACAACUAAGCUCACACUCUUUAGCAAAGUUGUUCUCCUAUAAUUGGUCUUCAACUUUGAUGUGGCGACCUAGGGCAAAAACCCUUUUGUUUAGAAGUUACAAGGUCUCAAAGAUGGGCACAAUACACUGAAUUUCAGACUUAAUCAAAAGAGUUCAAAUAGGGCUCUUUUGCAAAUAAGUCCAAAACUCAGGGUUUGGCUUUCAAGUCCACAUAUUUGUGAACCCAAGGACUUAAGAAACCUAUUUGGCUUGGUUUUUGCACUUUAACCCAAAAGUGGGCUAAUUUUGCACAUAGGCCCCUAGGGUUUAGUUUUAGGGUUUUCCAGGGUUCCAAUUAGGGUUUCUGGUAUCCCAGGGGUAUAAAUGUGACUCAAGUUUAUUUUUGGGGUCAUUUUAUGACUUUUACCCUAAAGCUUUUAGGUUUUCUCAACUCGGAUUAAGUUUUACCCCAUUAAUCCAUAUUUAGGGUAGAGUCCUUUAACCAGGGUUCUAUUUGCAAAACACUAAAACAAUACAACUUGUUUGAAAUUUUUGCCUAGUGAAUGCACUCUAGGUGUGUCAAACAUAUGCAAUGCCAAUGCUUAUGAUGCCAUGCUCAAGUUUUAGUUAUAGUAACACCAGGGGUGUUACAUCCUUCCCCCCAUAAAAGAAUCUCGUCCCGAGAUUAAAAAUCCUAGGGUAAGUAAUGGUAAAGGAAACGCAUCACAUUUUUAUUUCCUUAUUUUUGGUACAAGACAGGGGUGAUGUGGGGGUUACUUCUUUAUUACAACAGCUAUACAGGCUUUACAAUUUACAUGAGGCUAAAAAGCCUGGAAAAUUCUUAUCUAAGAAGUCUUGGGUUUCCCAUGUAGCCUCAUCUUCCGAAUGCUGGUUCCAUUGUAUCUUGUAGAACUUGAGAGUCUUUCUUCGGGUGACCCUGUCCUUUUGAUCCAGAACUCGAAUAGGAUGUUCCGAGUAUGUUAAAUCUGGUUCCAGGACAACAUCAGUCACUUCAACGGUUCGAUCAGGAACCCUAAGACACUUUUUCAAUUGUGACACGUGGAACACAUUAUGCACAGCAGACAAUGUUUCGGGGAGCUGAAGUCGAUACGCCACUGGCCCAUAUCUUUCCAGAAUAAGAAAAGGACCAAUAUAUCGUGGUGCAAGUUUUCCUUUAACUCCGAAACGCGAUACACCCUUCAUUGGUGAGACCUUCAAGUAGACAUAGUCUCCUUCCAGGAAAUAUAAGGGCAUUCGCCGUUUGUCUGCAUAACUCUUUUGCCGUGCUUGAGCUUUCUUCAUAUUAUGGAUAAUUCUCUGAACCUUUUCUUCAACCUCUUUCACCAUAUCAGGUCUAAAGAAGUAUCUUUCUCCAGGUUCAGACCAAUUUAGCGGAGUCCGACACCGUCGUCCAUAUAAAGCUUCAAAGGGUGCCAUCUUAAUACUUUCUUGAUAACUAUUAUUGUAUGAAAACUCCGCCAAAGGUAAACAUUCAUCCCAUUUUAGUGAGAAAUCCAGGACACAUGCCCGUAGCAUAUCUUCAAGUAUUUGGUUCACUCUCUCAGUUUGUCCACUGGUUUGAGGAUGAUAGGCUGAACUGUGGAGCAGUUUAGUACCCAGGGAUUUAUAAAGUUCUUUCCAGAAUUUGGAUACGGAUUGAGGUCCACGAUCCGACACUAUGGUUUUCGGAACACCAUGCAGACUAAGAAUACGAGCAAUGUAUAAUUGGGCAUAGACAAUAACUGGGUGGUCUGUCUUGACUGGCAAAAAAUGAGUAAUUUUCGUAAGCCGAUCAACAAUAACCCAGAUAGAGUCAUACCCUUUUGUAGUCCUGGUUAAUCCCACAAUGAAGUCCAUACUAAUGUCUUCCCAUUUCCACGUUGGUAUUGGUAGAGACUGUAGUGGACCAGCAGUUUUCAUGUGUAUGGCCUUGACAUGUUUACAAGUGUCACAUCUAGCCACAUAGUAUGCAAUUUCAAUUUGCAUCUUUGCCCACCAGAAGAACACAUAAGGUUCUAUGUGUGCAACUUGCUUCUUUUGAUGACACUGUACUAUCUGAGUCUGUUGGGUGGCAAUUAUGCAACUUUACCCAAAUAGAAUCAGAUGCACCAUCUUGGGUAAAACACACAAAAGGAGGUUUACCAACAAGUGGUUACAGUGAGUUCAUAGCACACGAGACGAGUGUGAAUGUCGAGUAACAUCACGGUCAACUCGUGUUAGCUAGGGAAUCCAAAUUCACGAAAGGUGAUAUUGAUUCAAGAAAAAUCACCAGUGGAGGGAUCUAAAAAUGCGGACUUUGCAACUAGUCCAUUUUAUCGGGCACUAGACAUGGCUUGACCCAAUCACUUAUGCUGGAAAAGCAUACAUGAGGCAAUCGAGGCACGACUAGAGCGAUGGUUAGGUGAUUAUUGACCGACUUAAUCUCGAUUUUUGAAAAUUCUUCCUUAAGAGGGGUUGUACAAAAGUGAGCUUAGACAACUCGAUAAAACGAUCUCUAAACUCAACCUUCGUUCACCAGGCAGUUGCACGUUAGUGAAACCAACUUGUUGAGCUACUUUUGACAUUGAGCAAGUCCUCUCAGUACCAUCGGUAAGCCAAGGGUUGAGAGUUCACAUUUGCAAGCCAAAGGUCAUGCAUUUGGAUAGAAAUCCAUUUGGUCAGGUUGUUCAUCCGUUUCUUCAAGCGAGAUGAAUUAUCCACUUGGUUAGGGAAUACAUAGAUUAAUUAGGAAAGCGAAUGAACAAACUCCUGCAUUUCAGCAGCAGGGGAAAGUCAAUCUCCAAUUUGAGAGCUAAUUAGUUGUUUUCUUACACUAAAAAGCUCCAAGGCUUCACCUUUACACAAAGGAUGCAAAGGGAACUUGUGUGAGUAGUCACUACCAAGAUCAAAAGAAAUAAGACCACACAUGAAAGUGGUAUGCCCUUUUGAUCCAAUGGAAAUGACAGAUGUUGCUUGAUCUCUUCAAGACAACAUAGAGAGUGUUUCAAGGUAAGGUCAAUGGAAGACAACACAUCAGUGUAAUUCCAUAAUGGAUCAUGACUAGAGACCUCGAUACCGACGUGCGCCAAGCAGCAAAGUCCUGGGUGCACAUUCAUAAGAGGCUCUCAGCUUCGCCGCGGUACCAUAAGUUCUUAACCAUGUCACCAAUAGAUUGAGCAAGGGUGAUUAUACACAACGAAAUACUCCACUAAUAAAGAUGGUUACAAGUAAGGAGCCAAAUAGAUCAUGGCCCAAGGCAUGGCCAUAAUCUAAACUUGAUAGAAGGAGUACGAUGGGAGACUGUUAAUUCAGCCCAAUCAUAUUUCUAUGCCCAUCGCAGAGAUCACAAGGUCAAGGCUUAAGUUGGUAUGCCUUCGAUAGAUAUGAAGAAACCAAAGGCAUCAAAUUCAAGGAAAUGGUCGGACAUGUCUUUCCUAGGUUGGGUUAAUAAAGUAACCUGACAAUCCACAAGGAGAGGCCAACUAUACUAGAGACUUCAACCUGCAUCAGCUGAUCAAGAGAAUGGCUCUAAAAGGAGGCACGACUUGAGAUCCUUGUUUGAAGUCUAGGUAUACUCUAGGUCCGACAAAGAAAUUAUCUAGGCAUUUACUUGUACGGGUGUGGUCAUGGAAUGAUAACGGAAAAUUCGACUUUGGGUCGGGUCAUGGUUCACUAAAGCCUAAUUCUUGGGUUUAGGCAACCAAGUCAUCAACUCUCUAUUGGUCAUAACUCAACCUGAUGGCUCUCGGAUCAAGGUUGAGAAUUGCUUUUUGCUGGGCUAACCAGUUCAUGCCCAAGAUGACAUCUAUGUCUUGGCUUUUCAGAACAAUCAUAUUAGUAGGAAAGUCCUGUCUGGCCAAUGUUAAGGGCACCUGAUAAGCCACUUCUUUUCACUUUUGGUAGCUUUACUGUCGGGUGCAGAAGACCAUUCGUUAACCAACUUCAUAGAGGGAGGGGGCCUGAAAAGGUCCGGUUCACCAUCACGUGCUUCUCCCGCUACAUGAGAAGGUCCGGCUUCUGUCCCGACAAGAUUCGUAGGGACGUUCGGGUGCAGUUGUGAAUACAACACAUGCACUUCUUCAUGUAGUGCAUUACAACAGACCUGCAAGUUAUCCAUGGCUAAGCUAAGCUCCUCCACACGGGCUCGAGCUUUGGCUUCCUUAGCCCAGACGAGUAAACGAGAGUUAACCACCCAAUCGAGUGCUAAAUCUCGUUUCGCGAGUUGGUCUUGCAAGUAGCGGAUGGCUGCAUCCGCGAUCCAUAGAUCAUUCUUGUGACGGAGUUCUGACUGAAGCAGUUCGACUUGUGCUUCCAGAUCCCGAUAGGAUCGUUGCUACCACUGCUACUUUCUUCAUGUCUUGGAGUAAGUUAAUGGCAGGGUACGCCAAUGGGUUUAGUAGAUUUGUGCGCGGUCUUUCUGAUGCGCGACAACAUUUCUCUAAGGGGGAAAAUGUUAUUAGUAUGAUUCUUAGCAUGAUGCAUGUAUAAUUACAGAAUCAACCUUAGUCGAUUCAACCUUCUAUACGUUGCACUCUUCCUAUUUGGUCUUUAAGAUAGACUUCUUCAGAAUACUUAGGUAAGGAGAGAAAAGAAUUUCUAGGUAAGACUUUCGAAAAUUCUUUUGAAGAUGCCUCAUAAUAUCUGCCAAGAAGGGCUACGCUCCGAUACCAGCUGUGGCGGAACCUCCCAAGUAAUUAGGCCCACCUACAGUUGUCCUUGUCCAACGGACAUCAGACAACCCUGUAGGUGCCCCUGAACUACUUGACAAGUUCGGUAUCCUUCCUUACCUCACCAGGAACGUCUCACCCAUCUUGUAGACAUUACAGAACAUCGGAGAUAAAGAAAUGCGGAAGCGAAUUACAUAAUCUUACAUUUAUUUCAAAAGCAAGCUUGAGUUAGGUUAUUACAGACCAGUCUAAAAGUGAGUGCAUAGGAGUAAUAUUAUACAAACCAGGGGAGGCACAAGACUCCUCCCGAUAAGCUAAAAGCAAAAGAUCCUAAACGGAGGACCGAGUCCUCCCGCACUUCAGUCUUGAUUUUCUUCUUUCGGAACCACCUUGGCACAGAAGUAGCAAAAGUCUGCUACUUCCUCACCUAAAAACAACAAAGGGAUAAACCCUGAGUAUGGAAUACUCAGCAAGUCUUACCCGACUAAGAAAAAGACUCUCAAGGGUAUGCUGGUUAUGUGGGAGUCAAGGUAAGGCUUUUCAAUAUUCAAAGACUCUGUUUUGCAGAAAUGCUUACUAAAGUGGAUCCUUAAAAAUCCAAUUUUAUUUGUCAAGUUAAGUAAAAUUACCUGCACUAGAGUUCUUUCUACCCUAGUUCAAUCACUGGUCCUGCACUAGCCAAUUUCUUAACAAAAACCCAUCAUCUUUAGUGGAAUGCUACAUGUAAGUCAGUGGCCAAGUCUCCAUAACCGCGGAGGUACGGCGAUCCGAAUCGAUUAUACUCAGCUGAGGAUCUCCAAUCACACGACAUAUGUAGCACUUAACCCUUGCAUAUGUCAACCCGCCACCGGGGUUCUUAAGACCGGAUCAGGUUCACGCAAACCGAGAGCACAGAUACACCACCGUCCAGCCUCUUGCCACGGAGGGUACACGCUACUCUCGCCACCGCUCCACUCCCAUUUCGUGGUAUCUUAUUCCGGCCUUAGUCUGCCCGAGGCAAGGCUUACCCAUGACGAGGUAUGUGACCAGUUAAAGGGUCCUCGGUCAGCAGGCCUACAUCGAGACGGUCCUUAAUCGACUCGGACGGAGACACUACACCGAGACUCUCUUUCUCGUGCAAGUCACCCGCCCGGUCUCAGCUUAAUCUUUUUAACCCAAAAACUUGGUACCUGACAGAGGUACAUCUUUUCCGAUGUUGGACCCAUCAUGGCCAUGAUGGAUCCACCAUCAAAUUUUAUUUUCGAAAACAUCCCACCCACUUUUGCCACAUCAUAUUUUGUAAAAACAAAACAUUUUGUUUUUCUAAAGCAAGACUAAGCAUCAAAAUCUUUUUGUAAAACGGGUGAUCAAGGAAGGUAAUCAAGUUCAAGGAAGGUAAUGCAGGAAUUGUUUUAGCAAUCAACUCCUAUCACCUAAUGCAGCAAUCAAGUGAGAAAGAUUUUAAAAACAUCAAGGAAGGUGGAAAAUGCACCGGGGCUUGCCUUCGUUAACAGGUGAUUCAGGCUCGGAUCCACAAAUGUCGAAGCAGAAACUAUUCCUGGCCUGAGUGUCCAAAGGUGGUUGCACUUGCUCUUCAGUUACUUCUACCUCUUCUUCUCGUUCUAAUCAUAACCAUACGUAUGUAUAAGAAUGGAUGCCAUGGGAUGCUCAUGAGGAUGCAAAGACAACAUAAACUUAUUAGUUAUGUCUUGAAUACAACUUGCCUUCACGGAGUUCCGGGAACUUAGGGUUUCCGGAGUCGGUAAAGGAGUUCAUAGGGCAGGGGGGUGUUUUGGGAUUUAGUGAUCAAACAAGGUCCAAAUCAACUCAAAUUCUACCCAAGGCUUCUAAAUAUUGGUUUAAGUUCACAUAAAAAGUUUGGGAAAUUUUGGACUUAUUAUUUAUUUUCUAAAAAUCCAGAACCAAUGGUUUACGCUAUUUUAAAUACCCUAAAAUUCUUUGUUCAAACUAAAAAUCAUAAAACUAUUUUUAUUAAAUACUAUGGAAAAUAACAAGCCUAGGAAAUUUGGUCUCAUAUUUUUAGGAUUUUUCUAUCUUUUUCUAGAAUUGUUUUAACUCUGGGAUAAAAAGAAAAGGGAAAACUUGUAACAAUUCUGGGCUGAAUUCGGCCCAAGCAGCCCAGUACAGAGAGGACAGCGCGCUCGCGCCUGCGCGCGCUCUGUUAGUUUUGCGGAUAGGCCCUCGGCGUUCUGGCUAAUCUGAAAUGAGCCUAAACACUAUUUUCAGGAGUCGCUGACACUUCGCAGAAAGGCCCUCCGGUUUCUGUUUCUUCCCCGCGAUUACCCCUGACCACGCCGCGUUGUUCGUUCAUCACGGACAAGGUUUGUACCGGCCAUGAUCGGCGACGAUUGUUCAAACUAACUGUCGGAGAGGCUUUACGGACCUAAGGUGACCUAAGAACGGUCCUCAAUUUCGGAUGGCGCUCCAAGAAAAUGUUCUGCCCACGCUCAGGGCGGAAACCGGGGCGUUGAGCUCACGUUCCCGUACAACCAUGGCCGAACUGAGCAAACGGACGUCACCGAGAGCUUCACAAGCAUGGAGAGAUUCGGAAACAACACAUGAAUUGAAUGGCGACUCACCAGAACAGGCUGGCCACGGGAGGGCUAUUCCUCACGGUGCGGCGGACGGAAUUGGGGAAAAAUGGUGCCGUGGCGUCCACGAGUGAAAUUAAGGGAUGGGAUUUUGGCUACACGUCGUAAAGGACCCCUGAUUCCCCGUGUACAACCAAUUUGGAGAGUGGGAGAGGAGACACGGCGAAUUUUGGAUUGCGAUGGGUGUGCUGGUAAAGAGGAAAACACCUCGCCGUGGACCACCGUGCUAUUUAUAGCCACGGCGACCCAACAGUCGACCUCCGGCCACGGAUAACAUCGCAAGCGCAUGCAUAACACGUUGGUAGGAGGCACAGCGAGGAAAUCACGGCAUGUGUGACAGCGCGGCGAGAGCUCCCUGAGUCACGGUGGUCGCCGGUGAGUAACUCCGGCUGGGCCCGGGAGAGGGUGCCACGUAUGAGUCAUCCUUUUCUCGGCGUUAUCCAUCCCUCACCGUGCAUGAAUCCGGGCGGCGGCGGCACGAAUUUUGACGCGGGGAGGUCACCGGCGGUGGAGGUUUGUCACGCUGGCGAUCAAAUCUGUUCGGGUUACUGUACCAUCAGAACACCCAUAUCAGAGCACCUGACAGCGUGUUUUGCAGGGUUAUAUACUCCCAAUUUUGUGCAGCAACUCGAUUGCCUUUCUCAAACAAAAUUGUAGAGCAAUGUACCAUCUACAAUUCGACUAUAGGACUUGAACACAUUUGAGCACUGGAUCAUGCUCGAAUUUGAGCUGAAAGUUGAUGUCAGUCAUCUGCUAUUCUGAAUUUCAGAUCAAACAGCCUAACAGCCAGUUCUUGAUUGGGUUUUUCUCUAAAUUUCUCAUAACAACUAAGCUCACACUCUUUAGCAAAGUUGUUCUCCUAUAAUUGGUCUUCAACUUUGAUGUGGCGACCUAGGGCAAAAACCCUUUUGUUUAGAAGUUACAAGGUCUCAAAGAUGGGCACAAUACACUGAAUUUCAGACUUAAUCAAAAGAGUUCAAAUAGGGCUCUUUUGCAAAUAAGUCCAAAACUCAGGGUUUGGCUUUCAAGUCCACAUAUUUGUGAACCCAAGGACUUAAGAAACCUAUUUGGCUUGGUUU
This 8784-nucleotide long non-coding RNA is filed under the name Zea mays. RNAcentral describes it as "long non-coding RNA (ZMAY_LNC004626)". The record is from RNAcentral. Lineage: Eukaryota; Viridiplantae; Streptophyta; Magnoliopsida; Poales; Poaceae.